UUUUUUUUUUUUUUUUUUUUUUUUUUUUGUCUUUUUGCUAUGUCUUUGGGCCGCUCCCGCGGCAUAUGGAGGUUCCCAGGCUAGGGGUUGAAUUGGAGCUGUAGCCACCGGCCUACGCCAGAGCCACAGCAGCGCGGGAUCCGAGCCGCGUCCGCAACCUACACCACAGCUCACGGCAAUGCCGAAUCGUUAACCCACUGAGCAGGGGCAGGGACCGAACCCGCAACCUCAUGGUUCCUAGUCGGAUUCGUUAACCACUGCGCCAUGACGGGAACUCCCCAUUUUUUCAUUUAUCUUUUUUCUUUGCUCAUGUACGUUUUGCAAGAGAUUUUCUUGUUAAAUUUUGAUGUAAUUAAGUUAAAUUUAAAUAUUUUCUCCUGUUGAUUUUGAAUUUUAAGUUUUAACUAGUAAGAUUUUCUCUGCUCCUAAAUUAGAGAAAGCCAUAUGUAUUUUUUUCUAGUACUUGUAUAAUUUCACUUCUUAAUAUUACAUUAUUUAAUGCAGUUAAGAGUUUAUAGUUUGUGGUUAAUACAGUUUUAUUGUUUCUUUUCCUGUGUAUGCUGCCAUAUUGUACUCAAAACUUCAUAUACUAAGACUAUUUCUGGAUUGUCCAUUCUGAUCUAUCCAUCUGUCCCUCUAUUGAUGCAUUACCAUGGGCCUUAUUUUUCUUAAACAGAGGCCAUAUAGUGUGUGUCAGUGUGUAGUGGGGCUACACUCCUAUCAAUGCAGUGAUUUCUUUUUCAGUGUUUUUUUUUUUGGGGGGAGGGGACUGGCUUCUUGCUUUUUUUCCAAAUAAAUUUUAUAAUCAGCUUAGUUACAAAAAUUUGAGCAUCAAAAAUAAAACCGAGAAAUUAGAAUUGCAUUAUGUUUAUAAAUUAGUAUAGAGAAGACUAAUAUAUUUAUGAUGUUUGGUUUUCCAAAAAAAAUGUGUUAUUUAUUUAUUUAUUCAAGUCUGCAUAUAUGCCUUUUAGGAGUACAUUAUGGUUUUAUAAAUGUAAAUUUUGUUUUGUUGAGUUGGAUGAGAUAUUUGUAUAUUUUAGAGAUUAGGCCCUUGUCAGUUGUGUCAUUGACAAAGAUUUUCUUCUAUUUUGUGUGUUGUCAUUUCAUUUUUUUAAAUGGUUUUCUUUGUUGUGCAAAGGCUUUUGAGUUUAAUUAUGAGGUCCUACUGUACAGCACCGGGAACUAUGUCUUUUCUCUUGGGAUAGAACAUGAAGGAAGAUAGUAUGAGAAAAAGAGUAUAUAUGUAUAUGACUGGGUCACUAUGCUGCACAGCUGAAUUUGGCACGACAUUAUAAAUCAAUGAUACUUUAAAAAAUUAUAUUUUUGGACAUUGAUUGCUAGCUUAAAUCUAAAUGUUUUAUUUAUGUAUGCAUUUAUUUAUUUACUAUUUUAAUUUUUAUUUUGGCUACAGUGUGCUGAAGCUUUAUUUGGGGUCUCAGUUCCUAGACCAGGGAUUAAACCACAGCUGCUAAAUCCUAACCACUUGACCACCAGGGAACUCCAUAAGUGUUUUGUUUUUAUGUCUGAUAUUUUAAAUGGCAAACAUAAAAAUAAAAUUUCUGGUUUUCCUGGUAAGAUUCUGCUUCUUAGAUUGAUACAUAUACAUUUUGUUGUACAGUUCCUUACACUAAGGUGGUGACCAUCAGUUCCUAUUUUAUGAAUGGAUGUUGUAUUUUGUAACAUCUUUUUUAAAAUGUAAAUACCCUUUCUUUUCUAGAAAUAUUUUCUUUGCUUAGCUUCCAGAAUUAUUUUGUUUCUUGUCCUGCCACCCUGACUUUCCUUUCUUUCCAGCCCUAAAAUAUGUGUUCUCCAGAGUCAGAUGAUUUGGAACCCAUGCCUCUAUCAUCUUACCUCCCUUGUCCAGGCUCCCAACUUACAUAGUCUUGAUAACUGGCAACUGUAUAUCUGCUAGACUGAGAUAAAUAUAACCACUUAUACAUCUUCUUCCUUUAAAUAUCUGAGAGCUCUCUUAGACCAAACUAAAUUCUUUCUUUACCUCAGAACUGCUGUUCAGCCCAUUAUCCUCCUCUCAGUUAUCUUAUGUUUCAUUGAACACUUAGAUGGGCAAACUAUAUGCCAGACAUUAUUCUAAGUGGUUUAUUUAUUUAUUUGUUUAUUUUUGGCUUUUUUUUUUUUAAGUGCACCCAUGGCAUAUGGAAGUUCCCAGGCUAGGGGUGGAAUCAGAGCUAUAGCUGCCGGCCUACACCACAGCCACAGCAAUGCAGAAUCCGAGCCAAGUCUGUGACCUGCACCAUAGCUCACAGCAACACUGAAUCUUUAACCCACUGAGCAGGGCCAGGGAUCAAACCCACUACCUCAUGGAUGCUAGUCAGAUUCGUUUCCGCUGAGCCACUAUGGGAACUCCUUGUUUAUUAACUAUUAAAUCGUUUAACACUCAUAAUAACUCUGUGAGGUAGUCACUAUUGCCAUUUUCAUUUUAUCAAUUAGGAGAACUCAGAUGGCUUGUGUGGUAUCUCAGUAAAUGAAAUCUCUAAGGUAAAUCUGGGCAGUUUGACUGAAAAGUGCAUUUUUCUGUUACAGAGUGAAUUUUUCUGCUUGUCCAAGCCAGUGAACUUGGAUUUGUCCUUAACUCUUCUAUUACUUUUGCACUGCAGAAAUAAUAUACUAGCAAAUCUAUUGACUCUUCCAUCAAGAUAUAUCCAGAAUCUGAACACUCUUUACCUCAUUCAUUCUAAACAUCUUGGUUUAACACACCAUAAUUUUUUGCCUGUAAUAUUGAAAUAAUCUCCAGCCAGCUUCCUGCCCCUCACACCUUUUGCUUCUAUAGUAUAUUUUCCACAGGGCUUGUCUUGUCCCAUUUCAAAUACAUCAGACCUCCCCUGUUCUUGGCUCCAAAAUUUCUGUUGUCUUCCCAAAUUGAUAAACAGAUGGCCAAAGUUCUAAAAUGACUUAAUCUCCUACAUGACCCAACCUUGUUAAUCUCAUCACUCUGUCUGUGGCAUCCUUAUGGUGCCUUGAAUACACCAAUCACUCUCUCAACUCAGAGCUUUUACAAUUACUCUGCCCUCUGCCCCCAGAUGUCUGCAUUUAGCUCUAAUAUUUCUUUUGACUCUAUACUCAUAGGUCACCUUGUGAAAGAAAGAACUUUCUUAAAUGUCUUUUACUAAAAUAAAAAUUUCGCUCAUCACUCUCACCUACUUUUUAAAAAAAUAGCACUUAUCAUCAUCUUCAAACAUUAUAUAUCUGUAUCUUUACUUUAGGUUUUUAAAUUUUCAGCACACCCAAUUAGGGAUUUUAACUUUUUCGCUGUUAGAUCUCCAGUGCCUGAAAAGGUACUUGAGGAAAAUUAAGUGCUCAGUAAUUAUUGGAUGGGUGAAUAAUUAAGUAAUAAGCAUGAUUCCCUUAACUUAAUUGAUGACAACUCUUUUUAUGGAGCAUCCCACACUGAGGAAUGCUAGUGUUCUAGGAAACACACGUUUGGGAAACUGGGUUAAAUAUUAGACAAUGCUGCUUUUACUUAAUCUUGAGGGGAAGCUCAUCGACUUCUAUUUUGCUUUGAUUGUUGACCAGCUAAAUGAUGAUACUGAAUUGAGUGAGUUUUCUUCUACCUCUGUUUACUUGUGUACUAACUGCAUCUAGAAUAUAUUCCUUCUCUUUAUUUGAACUCAACCCCUAUGUGUUGUACAGAAUAAAUAUCCCUCAAAUAUUGGUCUACUUUUCUUUUCCAUUCAUAUUCAGCAUAUUCAACAGUGUUGGCUAAUAGCUUUCAACUCAUAAUCCAUCUCAUAGAUUCAUUUGAGGCUAAGAAUCGAUGUGUUGAGAUGGAUUGGGCGGCUUAGUUAGAUGGAGUGUCUUUGAUAAGCAAUGAUUGCCUAGGGCCAGAAGGGUCAGUGAUAGCAUCAGUGACACACAUUUUUCAUGUUUGCAUUGCCAGGUAAGCUCUUGAGAGAAAUUAACUUAUUCAUUUUUAAAAAUCCACUUAUUAUCUAACAUAGAACAUUGCUUGUAUAUUGCAUGUAAUGGAUACUCCAUACAUAUUUGUUCUUUGUGUGAUUAUUCUAUGAAUGCUAAAGGAAUACUCAUUUGUAUCCUGAUCACGAAUCUCAUCCCUCUGUUUCCUAGGCAACUUUUUCCUUUAUCAGAGUAAAAGAUCAUUAAUCCCCAAUAUAUUGCUAGAUAAAUCUUUGUGUGGCACCCAAAUGUCACCCGUUUAUAUAUCAUAAAAUUGAGUUCUGCAAGUUAUCACAUGAGAGAAAAUUAUCUCUUUUACCUGUAUACCUUUCUUGUGCAAAAUAAAAAUAAUUUAUAUUUUUCUUGGGGUGAACAGGUGUUAUAAUACUCCUCAAAAUGACUUAUAAGACACUGCUAACCUCCAGUAGCUCAGUGAGAAUUCUUGUUAAACUAAAUAGAGGUCCACUUAUCAUUUUCCUAACUGAUAAAAUCAUGUUGUUGACAAGAAUAAGAGAUAUAAGUGAAAAAUUUAUAGUGACUAAUUUUAGAAGAAAGUUUCCCAAUGGGUUGCCUCAUUC
This 4490-nucleotide long non-coding RNA is filed under the name Sus scrofa (pig). Its description in RNAcentral is "lncRNA (ENSSSCG00055007396.1)". Lineage: Eukaryota; Metazoa; Chordata; Mammalia; Artiodactyla; Suidae. The record is from RNAcentral.